CACACCCAGGCUGAGGAGCUGUGGUGGAGCCUGGGGCCAGGGAAGUCACCCGACAGGGGCUCCAGUCAAGGACAGCAGCAGGUGGCAGCUGAGUGGCCCUGCCCGCCCCCCCGGGGGUGGACCUGUGCUGGAAGGCCCUGCGGAAGCAGCGGACUGUCCAGACCUGAGGCGCAGCAGCACGGAACCUGGAGCCACAGGGGACUUCUGCAAGUGGAGUCCAGACAGGGAGACCGAGGUGAAGCAGCCUGCCCACUGCCCAGAGCCAAGGGCGGCUGCAGGCUCACCAACAGUGGGGUUGUGCACUUUAGUACACUGUGCCAGGGAGGACAGGCUCCCUAGCGUCCCUGUCCUUCCUAGGGGACAUCAGCAGAUGAGACCCACAAAGAUGACCGCAGAGAAUUUUCUGUCAGGAGAACGGAGGCCUCCAGCCUCAGUCUGCCCCCAGGAACCCCCGGAGGCAGUGUACACCCUCUGGGAGUCCAGCCACUGUUGGGUGGCAUUGUUCCACGGGGAUGUGACCAGCCUGUGAGGUGACUGUCCACCCCCGUGGUCGCCAAGCUGAAGACUGACACCCUCUAGAUCAAGGUGCUGGCAGAGAAACUGGGUCAGCUGGGAUGGGACUCCAGACAGUGCAUCUCCAGGUGACCGUCACCACCUCGUUGCUUUCUCUGCAGCCUGUACACUUCUGGCAAUCACUCUAUGGGGACGGCUGCACAGGUUGAGCACAGGCACAACAAAAGAACCCUGCGUUAUCAUUCAUGAUCUGAAAUGCAGACAAUUAAACAGUCACCCGUAAAGUGAAGAAUUAGGUAACCCUAAGUGUGGUGGUACUUACUUAUCAUGAGCACAUGAUAAGCCACCAAGAAAGCCAGUCUCACUGCAGUGUCCCCACAACACCAUUUCUGUGCAGUGACUGAGGUGUGCUCCUUUUGUCUUCCUUCCUUUCUUUCUUUUUUUCUUCUUUUUGUGUUAGAUAUUGAACCCAGGGGUGCUUUACCACUGAGCCACAUCCCCAGCCCUUUUUAUUCUUUAUUUUGAGACAGGGCCUCACUGAGUUGCUGAGGCUGGCCUUGAACUUAUGAUCCUCCUGCCUCAGCCUCCCGAGUUGUUGGAUAUGAAAACGUGGCCCCUGCACCC
RNAcentral lists this long non-coding RNA (1137 nucleotides) under Marmota monax (woodchuck). The record is from RNAcentral. Lineage: Eukaryota; Metazoa; Chordata; Mammalia; Rodentia; Sciuridae.